RNAcentral lists this ribosomal RNA (468 nucleotides) under uncultured bacterium. RNAcentral describes it as "partial 16S ribosomal RNA". It matches the Rfam family "Bacterial small subunit ribosomal RNA", at positions 28 to 507 of the family's 1533-position model. The record is from RNAcentral.
GACGAACGCUGGCGGCGUGCUUAACACAUGCAAGUCGAACGGAAAGGCCCUGCAUUUGUGGGGUGCUCGAGUGGCGAACGGGUGAGUAACACGUGUGUAACCUGCCCUUGACUUUGGGAUAACUUCAGGAAAAUGGGGCAACUACCGGAUAGGAGCUCCUGCUGCCUGGAGGGGGUGGGAAAGUUUCGGCGGUCGGGGAUGGAUUCGCGGCUUAUCAGCUCGUUGGUGGGGUGGUGGCUUACCAAGGCUCUGACGGGUAGCCGGCCUGUGAGGGUGACCGGCCACAUUGGGACUGAGAUACGGCCCAGACUCCUACGGGAGGCAGCAGUGGGGAAUAUUGCACAAUGGGCGGAAGCCUGAUGCAGCAACGCCGCGUGCGGGAUGACGGCCUUCGGGUUGUAAACCGCUUUCGCCUGUGACGAAGCGUGAGUGACGGUAAUGGGUAAAGAAGCACCGGCUAACUACGUG